AUCGCUUCUUGGCCUUUUGGCUAAGAUCAAAUGUGGAAAUAAUUAUUACAACUGAAGUUUUUUUGGUUUGUUUUUUGUUUUUUUGGCCAUGCCCUCCUUGGUGUUCCCAUGGUCUAAUGUAUGACUCAGUUACAGGACUGAUCACGUGUAAUAUUA
This 156-nucleotide small nuclear RNA is filed under the name Otolemur garnettii (small-eared galago). RNAcentral's name for it is "U2 spliceosomal RNA". It matches the Rfam family "U2 spliceosomal RNA". From Rfam's summary of the family: U2 is a small nuclear RNA (snRNA) component of the spliceosome (involved in pre-mRNA splicing). Complementary binding between U2 snRNA (in an area lying towards the 5' end but 3' to hairpin I) and the branchpoint sequence (BPS) of the intron results the bulging out of an unpaired adenosine, on the BPS, which initiates a nucleophilic attack at the intronic 5' splice site, thus starting the first of two transesterification reactions that mediate splicing. Lineage: Eukaryota; Metazoa; Chordata; Mammalia; Primates; Galagidae. The record is from Rfam by way of RNAcentral.